RNAcentral lists this transfer RNA (65 nucleotides) under Largus sp. Its description in RNAcentral is "tRNA-Phe". Lineage: Eukaryota; Metazoa; Arthropoda; Insecta; Hemiptera; Largidae. The record is from RNAcentral.
GUCUAAAUAGCUUAAAUUUGAAAGCUUAAUAUUGAAGAUAUUACAAUAGGUAAUCCUUUUAGAUA